RNAcentral lists this ribosomal RNA (489 nucleotides) under Lactococcus lactis subsp. lactis. Its description in RNAcentral is "bacterial SSU rRNA". It matches the Rfam family "Bacterial small subunit ribosomal RNA", at positions 8 to 479 of the family's 1533-position model. Lineage: Bacteria; Bacillati; Bacillota; Bacilli; Lactobacillales; Streptococcaceae. The record is from RNAcentral.
AGAGUUUGAACCUUGCUCAGGACGAACGCUGGCGGCGUGCCUAAUACAUGCAAGUUGAGCGCUGAAGGUUGGUACUUGUACCGACUGGAUGAGCAGCGAACGGGUGAGUAACGCGUGGGGAAUCUGCCUUUGAGCGGGGGACAACAUUUGGAAACGAAUGCUAAUACCGCAUAACAACUUUAAACACAAGUUUUAAGUUUGAAAGAUGCAAUUGCAUCACUCAAAGAUGAUCCCGCGUUGUAUUAGCUAGUUGGUGAGGUAAAGGCUCACCAAGGCGAUGAUACAUAGCCGACCUGAGAGGGUGAUCGGCCACAUUGGGACUGAGACACGGCCCAAACUCCUACGGGAGGCAGCAGUAGGGAAUCUUCGGCAAUGGACGAAAGUCUGACCGAGCAACGCCGCGUGAGUGAAGAAGGUUUUCGGAUCGUAAAACUCUGUUGGUAGAGAAGAACGUUGGUGAGAGUGGAAAGCUCAUCAAGUGACGGUAAC